CGUGCCAGCAGCCGCGGUAAUACGGAGGGUGCAAGCGUUAUCCGGAUUUACUGGGUUUAAAGGGUGCGUAGGCGGACUAUUAAGUCAAAUGUGAAAGCUUGCAGCUCAACUGUAAGAUUGCGUUUGAUACUGGUAGUCUUGAAUAUGGUAGAAGUUGGCGGAAUAAAUCAUGUAGCGGUGAAAUGCUUAGAUAUGAUUUAGAACACCGAUUGCGAAGGCAGCUAGCUAUGUCAUAAUUGACGCUGAGGCACGAAAGCGUGGGGAUCAAACAGGAUUAGAUACCCUGGUAGUCCACGCCCUAAACGAUGAAUACUCGUUGUUGGCGAUAUACAGUCAGCGACUAAGGGAAACCGUUAAGUAUUCCACCUGGGGAGUACGUUCGCAAGAAUGAAACUCAAAGAAAUUGGCGGGGGUCCGCACAAGCGGUGGAUUAUGUGGU
Molecule: ribosomal RNA, 439 nt
Filed under: uncultured Bacteroidota bacterium
Lineage: Bacteria; Pseudomonadati; Bacteroidota
Description: bacterial SSU rRNA
Rfam family: Bacterial small subunit ribosomal RNA
Source: RNAcentral